GACGAACGCUGGCGGCGUGCUUAACACAUGCAAGUCGAACGGAAAGGCCCUGCUUUUGUGGGGUGCUCGAGUGGCGAACGGGUGAGUAACACGUGAGUAACCUGCCCUUGACUUUGGGAUAACUUCAGGAAACUGGGGCUAAUACCGGAUAGGAGCUCCUGCUGCAUGGUGGGGGUUGGAAAGUCUCGGCGGUUGGGGAUGGACUCGCGGCUUAUCAGCUUGUUGGUGGGGUAGUGGCUUACCAAGGCUUUGACGGGUAGCCGGCCUGGGAGGGUGACCGGCCACAUUGGGACUGAGAUACGGCCCAGACUCCAACGGGAGGCAGCAGUGGGGAGUAUUGCACAGUGGGCGGAAGCCUGAUGCAGCAACGCCGCGUGCGGGAUGACGGCCUUCGGGUUGUAAACCGCUUUCGCCUGUGACGAAGCGUGAGUGACGGUAAUGAGUAAAGAAGCACCGGCUAACUACGUG
RNAcentral lists this ribosomal RNA (468 nucleotides) under uncultured bacterium. Its description in RNAcentral is "partial 16S ribosomal RNA". It matches the Rfam family "Bacterial small subunit ribosomal RNA", at positions 28 to 507 of the family's 1533-position model. The record is from RNAcentral.